This 82-nucleotide small RNA is filed under the name Mytilus edulis (blue mussel). Its description in RNAcentral is "mir-315 microRNA precursor family". It matches the Rfam family "mir-315 microRNA precursor family". The record is from Rfam by way of RNAcentral. RNAcentral also lists the same sequence under 2 other names. Lineage: Eukaryota; Metazoa; Mollusca; Bivalvia; Mytilida; Mytilidae.
UUCUUCUCACCUUUUGAUUGUUGCUCAGAAAGCCAGUGAAUUUAUAGUGGCUAUCGAGCAGCAAUCAAAGAUUGAAGGAGGG